RNAcentral lists this small RNA (32 nucleotides) under Arabidopsis thaliana (thale cress). RNAcentral's name for it is "ATSL079990". The record is from RNAcentral. Lineage: Eukaryota; Viridiplantae; Streptophyta; Magnoliopsida; Brassicales; Brassicaceae.
GUGAAAUUCCUCCUCUGCCCCUACCCACUUCU